GUUAAACAAUCUAGAAUUGUAUCAGCAACAACAAGGAUUGCUCUAAAAGAUGAGACGUAAUGAGCACAUAUACUCGAUGUUAAUGAAAUGAGCUUAUGUAUCAGAAUUGAGCGAGACACGAGACUUAAAUCAAAGAAUGACUAUUUCUCAUUAAAUAAUAACUUCAUCAAAAAAGGCUAUUCAAUGGAAUCAUACCCAUGGGACGAAAAACAUAUCAGGACUGCUAAAAACUACUCUAGAAAACAAUUCCUAUGUGCAGUGUGGUUUGGCCUUGGGGUCGUAUAGGAAAAGGCCAAAGCUUUUAACUGUGUUAAAGAAAAGCAUGGUAAGAAUUCAAGAUUCAGGAGUUCAAUAUGGAAAUGUCCCUGUCAUUCGAAUAUGGUCAAGUGUCCUUUGAAGGCCAUAUUUUUGCACUGCUCGGUGGCCUAUUCUGAAUCCAUCUCCAUAUACAGGGGAAGUGUCUGAUUCAAUCUGAUGUUUAAAAAAUUCCCCCAGCUUCCUCUCAAAUGGAGAUCUUGCACCCCGUUUUGAAGCUCGAGAAGCAGAGGAUGAAGCAACAUUGCUGCCAGAACCAGUUCGGAGCUGUGACUCUAACCACAUGUAUGCAAGCACCUGACAAAUGCCCUCUUCAACAUCUUGACUGAGAUGUUGGAAACCUUUAAGUCGCAUCCAUGCAUGCAUCAUCUCAUGAGCCAGGAUUGAUCCAGUAAGCAACCUUGGGAGGCCAAACAAAAUAAGAAUCGCUGUCACCUCACAACGACGUGUCAAUUUGUACGGCUCUGUUACCAUACCCAUGGCCUGGUUUCCAGCUCCAAACCUUGGCCGUCUUACUACCCUGCUGACUGUUUGUUCCUCAGAAAGACAAAGUCCUCUGGUUUCUGGCAUAUGAUAAUGGCCAUUCCUUUCCCCCUCCCUGGCUUCAUUCAGUGCUUGUCUCUCAACCAAAAGUAGUGGGACAUGCUGCUCCACUCUCAUAUUCAAACUUUCAUAAAAUUCCAGUAUAUCAAGGGAAAGGGGCUGACAUUGAUUGAUGUCCA
RNAcentral lists this unclassified non-coding RNA (1037 nucleotides) under Hevea brasiliensis (rubber tree). Lineage: Eukaryota; Viridiplantae; Streptophyta; Magnoliopsida; Malpighiales; Euphorbiaceae. The record is from RNAcentral.